UUUUCCCCCUCGCUCACUGCGCUAACUGAGAUAUUCAAUUAAGGAUUCCUCUUCCCAGUCUGAAGCGGCUCUCCAGGGCAGAUCUUCCGAGCGACCCGCCCUAUGUUAGAAAUAGGAAAAUCCAAUAAUAACAACAGAAGAAGAAAAAAAUGAAAAAAAUGAGCCAACUUUGAUCACGCAUGCUCCCUUGUCAUCCACCUUAAACACAACAUUUGUCCUAAGUUGGAAAGUCGUGGAAAAGCCAGGAAGUAACGUUACAGUAAGCCAAUCAUUUGAGGGAAGCAUCUCGUGUUUAAAAUGCCUGUGAUAUCCAAGAGAAGGUAAACAAAAAAGCUCGAUGUUUAGAAUGCAUCAACAGAGAGCUGUGUAAGAAGGCAAAUGUGAAUGUGCAAGCAGACAGUGGCACACGGGACACAGAGCAAGACUGGAGCGCUCAAUAUUCUUUGAAGGUCAGUGUCACAAUGUACCGUAAUACAUCUGCAGUUUUAAUGAGUAUUUUAGCAGCCAGAUACCAAAUAAACAGUCAUAUCAGUCAGCAUAAAGCUUGUUUUCUGUUCCCCUUUCUGUCACAUUUUCAAGUGUACUCUUAAGGAUUUUUGUAAAGUUACAAAAGUUGUAAAAUACAGUUUUCAGACCCCCUAGUUU
Danio rerio (zebrafish) is the source of this 645-nucleotide non-coding RNA. The record is from RefSeq and is a predicted model, not a curated record. NCBI's taxonomy places the organism in Eukaryota, Metazoa, Chordata, Actinopteri, Cypriniformes, Danionidae.